This 557-nucleotide small RNA is filed under the name Pongo abelii (Sumatran orangutan). RNAcentral describes it as "processed transcript". The record is from RNAcentral. Lineage: Eukaryota; Metazoa; Chordata; Mammalia; Primates; Hominidae.
AAUUGCCUUGAGUCACAGGCAGCAGGAACGCCAAAGAAGUGGGACCUGGGAGGGCUGCUGCUGCCGCUGCUGCAUCUAAUCACGGUUCCCCGUCCCCUUGCCUAAGCCUCCCCGGCACAGCGCCCCCGAAAGCGCCUACCGACUCGGCCUCCUCCGCAUCUUCAGCCCUUCGAUCACCACCCGCACCCCCAACCCCCCACCGCCUCAUGCAAAUCGCUGAUGAUUUGGUCAUCGUAAUGUGACCGGUCCUAGUGGUUUAUUUGGGGAGUGGGGGAGUUGGUUGUGUUGGGCUUCCUUACUACGCCUCCCUCAGUUGCUGCGAGUGAAAAUGUUCCAGGGAAAUACUAGUGAAAUGCACUGAUGGAAUACUAUUAAUCCUAAUGAUAAUGGUCCCAACGCAGGAACUGCUGAUUAUUUUAAAGUCCCACUACCUUGCAGAUCACUACUUUACCUUGAUUUGGAAGAUCAUGGAAUAUCUAUUUGAAUCCUGGAUGUAUUUUUCUCACAGACUUCUUGCUUCCUGAAAUUUCCUCUGGUAAGUUAUUCUCUUUAUCUGU